This 64-nucleotide ribosomal RNA is filed under the name Sarmentypnum exannulatum. RNAcentral's name for it is "partial 25S ribosomal RNA". It matches the Rfam family "Eukaryotic large subunit ribosomal RNA", at positions 1 to 63 of the family's 3401-position model. The record is from RNAcentral. RNAcentral also lists the same sequence under 1 other name. Lineage: Eukaryota; Viridiplantae; Streptophyta; Bryopsida; Hypnales; Amblystegiaceae.
CAGACCUCUAAUCGGAAAAGACUACCCGCUGAGUUUAAGCAUAUCACUAAGCGGAGGAGAAGAA